This 273-nucleotide long non-coding RNA is filed under the name Solanum tuberosum (potato). RNAcentral's name for it is "long non-coding RNA (STUB_LNC011816)". Lineage: Eukaryota; Viridiplantae; Streptophyta; Magnoliopsida; Solanales; Solanaceae. The record is from RNAcentral.
AUCAUUAUUCUGGUGGAUCAUUGGAUUUUAUUGGGUAUGUACUGGUGGGCAGCGAAUGGUGGAUGAAUCCCCUCAAUUGUACUGGUAUGCAUGGAAAACUUUCUUUAUCUAAGCAAAAUGUAUGACCUUUAUUCAUUUUCAAAAAAAUGUAUGACCUUUAUUUUCAGUUUAUUUCUCAAAUCAAAGCUGUCAUCUUUAAUAACUUAAUCUGAAUGCAGGCUUUGCAUUGUUUUCUUGGCUUUUGAUGUAUUCUUUGUGAUCUUCUUACUUGUG